AUGGAAGGCCUCUUGCAUUGGGACUUUGCCCCGGGCUUGGCCCUGGCAGAUCAGGUGCGAAAAAAGUUUGGUUCUACGGUGCAUUUCUCCCCCUCUCGCGACCCCAAGGAGUUUUUUCUUGUGGUUACUUUCUCAUCAGCCUCAUUCCCUCUCAUAGAAGAAUAUGUGGGUCUUGCACUCCAAUGUUGCAUUGGG
RNAcentral lists this ribosomal RNA (195 nucleotides) under Triticum aestivum (bread wheat). RNAcentral's name for it is "partial small subunit ribosomal RNA". Lineage: Eukaryota; Viridiplantae; Streptophyta; Magnoliopsida; Poales; Poaceae. The record is from RNAcentral.